CACAUACUCUCUUGUUUCGAGCUCACUGAAUUACAUAAUAAAUAAGUGCUUAGAUGAUUUCAGGCCCUUACAUAAAUAAUCACGGGUCAUUAGAUUUGAAAAAAAAAAAAAAAAAAGCAGUAUCUCCAAACUUUUAUUUGUACUAUUUUUUAAUAUAUUAAGUUGGGCUAGGUACCAUGACAACCUAUCGCUUUAUUUCAAUAGCUCACUAAGAACUUGUGAUUGCGUCGUCUUCAAUUCUUUGAUUUGAGAAGUUUGACCAACUGGGGAGAUACAUUGAGUGAGGCUUGUACAAGAGCUGAAGGCAAAGUUUUCCACACUGAUGCAUUCCCUGCUAACUUCCCAAAUAUUGGCCUGCACGCACAACAUAAUUUGAAAAAUAAUGAGAAAAC
RNAcentral lists this long non-coding RNA (392 nucleotides) under Olea europaea subsp. europaea. Lineage: Eukaryota; Viridiplantae; Streptophyta; Magnoliopsida; Lamiales; Oleaceae. The record is from RNAcentral.